GAUGAACGCUGACAGCAUGCUUAACACAUGCAAGUCAACUGUGGCGGACGGGUGAGUAACGCGUAAAGAACUUGCAUCCCGGAUAGGGACAACAUUUGGAAACGAAUGCUAAUACCUGAUACUGUGAGAGAGCUUUGCGUCCCAUUAGCUAGUUGGAGAGGUAACGGCUCACCAAGGCGAGGAUGGGUAGCCGGCCUGAGACGGUGAUCGGCCACACGGGGACAGAGACACUGCCAUUACGCCUACUGGAGGAAGGAGUGGGGAAUAGUGGACAAUGGACCAAAGUCUGAUCCAGGAAUUCGGUGUGCACGAUGAAGUUUUCGGAAUGUAAAGUGCUUUCAGUUGGGAAGCGGUACCAACAGAAGAAGUGACGGCUAAAUACGUGCCAGCAGCCGCGGUAAUAC
This 404-nucleotide ribosomal RNA is filed under the name uncultured bacterium. Its description in RNAcentral is "partial 16S ribosomal RNA". It matches the Rfam family "Bacterial small subunit ribosomal RNA", at positions 28 to 526 of the family's 1533-position model. The record is from RNAcentral.